CCUACGGGUGACAGCAGUGAGGAAUAUUGGUCAAUGGACGAGAGUCUGAACCAGCCAAGUAGCGUGAAGGAUGACUGCCCUAUGGGUUGUAAACUUCUUUUAUAUGGGAAUAAAAUGUUCCACGUGUGGGAUUUUGUAUGUACCAUAUGAAUAAGGAUCGGCUAACUCCGUGCCAGCAGCCGCGGUAAUACGGAGGAUCCGAGCGUUAUCCGGAUUUAUUGGGUUUAAAGGGAGCGUAGGUGGAUUUUUAAGUCAGUGGUAAAAUGUCCGGGCUCAACCCGGGCCGGGAGUUGAAACUGGGGGUCUUGAGUGGGCGAGAAGUAUGCGGAAUGCGUGGUGUAGCGGUGAAAUGCAUAGAUAUCACGCAGAACUCCGAUUGCGAAGGCAGCAUACCGG
This 396-nucleotide ribosomal RNA is filed under the name uncultured bacterium. RNAcentral's name for it is "partial 16S ribosomal RNA". It matches the Rfam family "Bacterial small subunit ribosomal RNA", at positions 338 to 732 of the family's 1533-position model. The record is from RNAcentral.